AAUCAGCAAUGUUCAGACUACGCCUGAAGCGGUCAGCUCAGCACGCAUGAAAGUAGCCUGCACACUUCUUGCAUGUCGAGGUAAUGCAGAGGAGUACUGUGUGCUUUGCAGCAUGCUGGAAGACGACCCCAACGAAAGCAUGAUUGAAAUGGUACAGUGUGAGAGCUGCAAUAGAUGGGCACAUUUUAAAUGUUGCAACUUCAGUAGCCUUAAUGUGUUUAAGUGCAAAAAGUGUGUAGUUUAGAUUGAGUGUAUGUGCCUUUAUCAUUUGCAAUGCUAACAGUCUUAGUCCAUAUUUAUAUUAAUAACUUAUUGUUUUACUUGUUUUGUAUUGUGCCUCUGUGUUGCAUGAUUUUGAAUUUUGAAAUGAAUUUGAUUAAAAAUCUCCUUUAUGUAUAUAUUCUAUCUGCUUGAUUAUAAAUCAUCUCAAUAACCAAUCUUAUUUCAAUUUACAUUAUCAUCUGGUUUAGAGUAAAUUUGUAACAUCUGUCCAGGGACUAUACAGAUUAAAA
Molecule: non-coding RNA, 512 nt
Organism: Pimephales promelas (fathead minnow)
Lineage: Eukaryota; Metazoa; Chordata; Actinopteri; Cypriniformes; Leuciscidae
Source: RefSeq, a predicted model, not a curated record